GGCUCGGUGGUGUAGUUGGUUAUCACGUCAGUCUAACAUAGGUUAGUUCACUGAAGGUCCCGAGUUCAAACCUCGGCUGAGUCA
RNAcentral lists this transfer RNA (84 nucleotides) under Paraphaeosphaeria sporulosa. RNAcentral's name for it is "tRNA-Val". The record is from RNAcentral. Lineage: Eukaryota; Fungi; Ascomycota; Dothideomycetes; Pleosporales; Didymosphaeriaceae.